Molecule: long non-coding RNA, 306 nt
Organism: Zingiber officinale
Lineage: Eukaryota; Viridiplantae; Streptophyta; Magnoliopsida; Zingiberales; Zingiberaceae
Exons: 3
Source: RefSeq, a predicted model, not a curated record
GGUUCACUUUUUCUCAAGGCUGAGCCAUCACUUCAUCCCACCACCUCAACUCGAGUACAACUCCAUGGCAAAUUUGUGCUUCAAGCAACUUCUCUUCGCCAUGCUUCUCUUCUGCUUCCUCCUUCACCAGGAUCAUCUUGCCAACUUACUUGUUGGAGCUGACUCCAUUUUUGCUGGUGAUAUUGGUAAGGCUGCAGCUGCACGGGAACUAAACUCUAUUCUCUUUUUUUUUUCGGAAAAGGAAUGGAAAAGGGAAAUCUCCUAAACUCCAACUUUUUGUUAUGUAUACAAGUGAACGAUUGAAGU